RNAcentral lists this long non-coding RNA (323 nucleotides) under Homo sapiens (human). RNAcentral describes it as "non-protein coding lnc-ARPC1A-7:3". Lineage: Eukaryota; Metazoa; Chordata; Mammalia; Primates; Hominidae. The record is from RNAcentral.
AAUCAAAUCCUACGGAUAAAGACAUCUCUGACGUCACAAGUGGAUGAUUACAAGAGGCAGCUGGAUGAAGAGUCAAAGGUUUGUUUGGACGUGGGGUUGCGGUGGAGACAGAGCUGCCGCCUUAAAGUUAUAGGUUACAGCUGGGGUUGGUGGCUCAUGCCUGUAAUCCCAGAACUUUGGGAGGCCUAGGUGGGAGGUUCGCUUAAGGCCAGGAGUUCGAGACCAGCCCGAACAACACAGCAAGACCCCCCCCCACCCCCCCCACCCCCAACGCCAUCUCUACCAAAAUAAAAAAUAAAAAAGCUGCUGGGCAUGGUGGCUCA